RNAcentral lists this ribosomal RNA (506 nucleotides) under uncultured bacterium. Its description in RNAcentral is "partial 16S ribosomal RNA". It matches the Rfam family "Bacterial small subunit ribosomal RNA", at positions 29 to 523 of the family's 1533-position model. The record is from RNAcentral.
AGUGAACGCUGGCGGUAGGCCUAACACAUGCAAGUCGAACGGCAGCACAGGAGAGCUUGCUCUCUGGGUGGCGAGUGGCGGACGGGUGAGGAAUACAUCGGAAUCUACUCUGUCGUGGGGGAUAACGUAGGGAAACUUACGCUAAUACCGCAUACGACCUACGGGUGAAAGCAGGGGACCUUCGGGCCUUGCGCGAUUGAAUGAGCCGAUGUCGGAUUAGCUAGUUGGCGGGGUAAAGGCCCACCAAGGCGACGAUCCGUAGCUGGUCUGAGGAGAUGAUCAGCCACACUGGAACUGAGACACGGUCCAGACUCCUACGGGAGGCAGCAGUGGGGAAUAUUGGACAAUGGGCGCAAGCCUGAUCCAGCCAUACCGCGUGGGUGAAGAAGGCCUUCGGGUUGUAAAGCCCUUUUGUUGGGAAAGAAAUCCAGCUGGCUAAUACCCGGUUUGGAUGACGGUACCCAAAGAAUAAGCACCGGCUAACUUCGUGCCAGCCGCCGCCGUAA